This 483-nucleotide ribosomal RNA is filed under the name uncultured bacterium. Its description in RNAcentral is "partial 16S ribosomal RNA". It matches the Rfam family "Bacterial small subunit ribosomal RNA", at positions 28 to 523 of the family's 1533-position model. The record is from RNAcentral.
GACGAACGCUGGCGGCGUGCUUAACACAUGCAAGUCGAACGGUGAAAGCGGAGCUUGCUCCGCUGGAUCAGUGGCGAACGGGUGAGUAACACGUGGGCAACCUGCCCCUGACUUCGGGAUAACUCCUCGAAAGAGGUGCUAAUACCGGAUACGAAUCCUGCAGGCAUCUGUGGGAUUGGAAAGUUUUUCGGUCAGGGAUGGGCCCGCGGCCUAUCAGCUUGUUGGUGAGGUAGUGGCUCACCAAGGCGACGACGGGUAGCCGGCCUGAGAGGGCGACCGGCCACACUGGGACUGAGACACGGCCCAGACUCCUACGGGAGGCAGCAGUGGGGAAUAUUGCGCAAUGGGCGCAAGCCUGAUGCAGCGACGCCGCGUGAGGGAUGACGGCCUUCGGGUUGUAAACCUCUUUCAGCAUCGACGAAGCGAAAGUGACGGUAGGUGCAGAAGAAGGACCGGCCAACUACGUGCCAGCCGCCGCAGUAA